RNAcentral lists this long non-coding RNA (246 nucleotides) under Homo sapiens (human). Its description in RNAcentral is "non-protein coding lnc-PAPOLG-10:1". The record is from RNAcentral. Lineage: Eukaryota; Metazoa; Chordata; Mammalia; Primates; Hominidae.
CCUAGAUGAUUACAUUAUUUUCCCUUUUAAUAUGUUAAUACAGUAUAUUUUAUAUAUUUCCAAAUAUUGUAUAUUCUUGAAUUCUCAGAAUAACCAUAUUAGGUGAUAAUAUACCAUUCUUUUGAAGUACCACCGAGUUUAAAUAAUUUUAUUUUGCUUUAUUUUACAUAGGUUUUUUACAUCUAUGUUAGAAUGCAACUUUGGCCUAUCACUUUAUUUAUGUGUGCCAUCCUUGUAAGCUUGGUA